UUCCUGGUGGUUCAGUGGCUAAGACUCUGCACUCUGAAUGCAGAGAGCCCAGGUACAAUCCCUGGCUGGGAAA
This 73-nucleotide transfer RNA is filed under the name Bos taurus (domestic cattle). It matches the Rfam family "tRNA". Rfam says of the family: Transfer RNA (tRNA) molecules are approximately 80 nucleotides in length. Their secondary structure includes four short double-helical elements and three loops (D, anti-codon, and T loops). RNAcentral also lists the same sequence under 5 other names. Lineage: Eukaryota; Metazoa; Chordata; Mammalia; Artiodactyla; Bovidae. The record is from Rfam by way of RNAcentral.